AGAAACUCCGGACACGCCGCCUUUAAGAACUAUAACACUCACGGCGAGGGUCCACGGCUUCAUUCUUGAAGUCAGUGAAACCAAGAACCCACCAAUUCCGGACACAGCAGGAUCCCACCCACAGAACCGCCAGGUGCACAGCUGCAUAUCCUCAGGGGAAAACUCCCCUCCCCUGCCACCUUACUGAUAGGCUUCACUUCCCAGAGAACUUUCCCAAUCCUGUGCAAUGCCUGAGUGGUACAUUGUAUUCUAUGAGAAUGGCGCCCCCGCCUCCAGAGUUGUGCAACAAGACUUCCAUGAAUCAAAGCCCAUCGCUGGCUGCCUCCUCUAGCCCUGCAUAGCCCAGGUACAUCUGAAAGGAGUGAGAAGUGUUUUGAGGGCUCUCCCUGUCUCUUCCUGCACCUCUCUCUUGUGAUCCCAGAAGCUACAACCUCAGCCCAGAUUAGCAGGCUGAGGGGUCAGGAGGCUGUCACUGGAGCUGUUGAGCUCAUGAACACGCCGAAGUUGCUGCGCUCCAGAAAUGUGGAAGUUGGAAUGAAGAGCCACCACUGCUGCCACCAACAUGAAGCUUGACCAAGCAAGCCAAGAAAAGAUGGCCAAGAGCCUCUGCCUUCCUUCUGCCUUCUGCAACGCAAUGAGAAGGCUACUUGGACCUAAAGGAAUGAAUUAGGAAGCGGUCUACUACCAAAGUACAAUGAAGGGCUCAAGGGCAGUGACUGCCCCACUCCACCACAGAGUGGGAGAGGGCUGGACCCCAGUGCCACUUUCGGCCACCCCUGGGCCACACGGCCACCCCUAUCCCUGGGACAGGGACUGCAGGGUCACACCCUCAAACAACCACGCCUCAGCCAUACUCGCGCCACACUUUCCAAGCCUGUCCCAGACCAGGGACAAGCCCCUAGUAGGGUUGGGGGAGGAGACUAGAACUAGAGAGGUGGGACACCAAGCAUGGGCACCCCUGCAACCUCGGCCACCCCCAGCAUGGCACCAUGCCCCUGAGCACCGCCAGCUUGGAAAGGCAUCGGAUGGAGACGGGCGCUUUUCGACGAGAUACCCGCCACUUGCUCUGGGAUCCCGGAGAGGGUGGGCAAGCGUGGACCAGGGAAGGAGGCCCCCAGGGGUGUUGGGAGGGAGUUUGAGAGGGAGGAAGUAAGAGAGACGGAUGGCAACGGAGACGCCAGGCAUGCGCGAGGGGGUGGACAAACCCUGUGUCCAGGGCUGACUUUGAAUAGAUGGCAGGGAGGGAGCUGCUCUGCUAUGUAUGAAACCACGACCUAAAAACUAAUUUCUGUAAGAUACACCAUAAAGGUAAAAAUAAUGCAAGUGUUCAGCUGACAGUAAGUAUAAAUGGUACUCAUUUUCAUUCUUAGCUGGUUCUGACCUUUAGCGAUCCAUAGAAAGUACAUUCAUGAAAAUAACCAGUUUUAAGCACACAAACAAUAAAAGC
This 1447-nucleotide long non-coding RNA is filed under the name Homo sapiens (human). Its description in RNAcentral is "long non-coding RNA NONHSAT212490.1". The record is from RNAcentral. Lineage: Eukaryota; Metazoa; Chordata; Mammalia; Primates; Hominidae.